This 85-nucleotide transfer RNA is filed under the name Nostocaceae cyanobacterium. Its description in RNAcentral is "tRNA-Leu". It matches the Rfam family "tRNA". Rfam says of the family: Transfer RNA (tRNA) molecules are approximately 80 nucleotides in length. Their secondary structure includes four short double-helical elements and three loops (D, anti-codon, and T loops). The record is from RNAcentral. Lineage: Bacteria; Bacillati; Cyanobacteriota; Cyanophyceae; Nostocales; Nostocaceae. RNAcentral also lists the same sequence under 1 other name.
GGGCGGGUGGCGAAACUGGUAGACGCAGCAGACUCAAAAUCUGCCGCCCUCAAAAGGCAUGAGAGUUCGAUUCUCUCCUCGCCCA